AGCGAACGCUGGCGGCAGGCCUAACACAUGCAAGUCGAACGAACUCUUCGGAGUUAGUGGCGGACGGGUGAGUAACACGUGGGAACGUGCCUUUUGGUUCGGAAUAACUCAGGGAAACUUGUGCUAAUACCGAAUGUGCCCUUCGGGGGAAAGAUUUAUCGCCAUUAGAGCGGCCUGCGUCUGAUUAGCUAGUUGGUGAGGUAACGGCUCACCAAGGCGACGAUCAGUAGCUGGUCUGAGAGGAUGACCAGCCACACUGGGACUGAGACACGGCCCAGACUCCUACGGGAGGCAGCAGUGGGGAAUCUUGCGCAAUGGGCGAAAGCCUGACGCAGCCAUGCCGCGUGAAUGAUGAAGGUCUUAGGAUUGUAAAAUUCUUUCACCGGGGACGAUAAUGACGGUACCCGGAGAAGAAGCCCCGGCUAACUUCGUG
Molecule: ribosomal RNA, 433 nt
Filed under: uncultured bacterium
Lineage: Bacteria
Description: partial 16S ribosomal RNA
Rfam family: Bacterial small subunit ribosomal RNA
Source: RNAcentral